CCUACGGGAGGCUGCAGUGAGGAAUAUUGGUCAAUGUGCGCGAGCCUGAACCAGCCAAGUAGCGUGAAGGAUGACUGCCCUACGGGUUGUCAACUUCUUUUAUAAAGGAAUAAAGUGAGGCACGUGUGCCUGUUUGUAUGUACUUUAUGAAUAAGGAUCGGCUACCUCCGUGCCAGCAGCCGCGGUCAUACGGAGGAUCCGAGCGGUAUCCGGAUUUAUUGGGUUUAAAGGGAGCGUAGACGGGUUGUUAAGUCAGUUGUGAAAGUUUGCGGCUCAACCGUAAAAGUGCAAUUGAUACUGGCAGCCUUGAGUACAGUUGAGGUAGGCGGAAUUCGUGGUGUAGCGGUGAAAUGCUUAGAUAUCACGAAGAACUCCGAUUGCGAAGGCAGCUUACUAGACUGCCACUGACAUUGAGGCUCGAAAGUGUGGGUAUCAAACAGGAUUAGAUACCCUUGUAGUC
Molecule: ribosomal RNA, 460 nt
Filed under: uncultured bacterium
Lineage: Bacteria
Description: partial 16S ribosomal RNA
Rfam family: Bacterial small subunit ribosomal RNA
Source: RNAcentral